GUUUAUUAUCAAAUGUAGCCCUAAAAAGAAAUACCUUUUUGGAAGCACAUGUGCAGGUAAGGAUUUAAAUUACCCAAGCCUCAGGGUUAUUAAUGGAUACAGACUGUAUAUGGAUAUGUUGGACUAGAAGAAAGGAGCCAGUGAGCCAAAGCUAUAAAUGCGAUUCUUUUGCUACGAUGCUCAUGAUGAUGGCUUAGUAAAAACAUUACUAAUGGACGCGUUUUAUUGGGAAUCGCAUUCACCGUGUGUAAGCUCAGCGGCUUCUUUAAGAGUUGGGGCAUUUUAGGGUUAGCAUGAAAGUAAA
This 304-nucleotide unclassified non-coding RNA is filed under the name Hevea brasiliensis (rubber tree). The record is from RNAcentral. Lineage: Eukaryota; Viridiplantae; Streptophyta; Magnoliopsida; Malpighiales; Euphorbiaceae.